AUAGAGACCGGCGCACGGGUGCGUAACGCGUAUGCAAUCUGCCUUCACAGAGGGAUAGCCCAGAGAAAUUUGGAUUAAUACCUCAUAGUAUUAUGCCUCGGCCGAGAUAUAAUUAAAGUCACAACGGUGAAAGAUGAGCAUGCGUCCCAUUAGCUAGUUGAAGGUAACGGCUUACCAAGGCAACGAUGGGUAGGGGUCCUGAGAGGGAGAUCCCCCACUGGUACUGAGACACGGACCAGACUCCUACGGGAGGCAGCAGUGAGGAAUAUUGGACAAGGCGCAAGCCUGAUCCAGCCAUGCCGCGUGCAGGAUGACGGUCCUAUGGAUUGUAAACCUUUUGUACGAGAAGAAACACUCCUUCGUGAAGGAAUUUGACGGUAUCGUAAGAAUAAAUCGGCUAACUCCGUGCCAGCAGCCGCGGUAAUACGGAGGAUCCAAGCGUUAUCCGGACAUUGGGUUUAAAGGGUCCGUAGGCGGUUUAGUAAGUCAGUGGUGAAAGCCCAUCGCUACGGUGGAACGGCCAUUGAUACUGCUGAACUUGAAUUAUUAGGAAGUAACUAGAAUAUAGUGUAGCGGUGAAAUGCUUAGAGAUUACAUGGAAUACCAAUUGCGAAGGCAGGUUACCUAAUUGAUUGACGCUGAUGGACGAAAGCGUGGGGAGCGAACAGGAUUAGAUACCCUGAGUCCACGCCGUAAACGAUGGAUACUAGCUGUUGGGAGCAAUUUCAGUGGCUAAGCGA
This 740-nucleotide ribosomal RNA is filed under the name uncultured bacterium. RNAcentral describes it as "bacterial SSU rRNA". It matches the Rfam family "Bacterial small subunit ribosomal RNA", at positions 88 to 854 of the family's 1533-position model. The record is from RNAcentral.